GGAUGUGAGGGCGAUCCUGUUGUGACAUCUGUCACCCCAUUGAUCGCCAGGGUUGAUUCGGCUGAUCUGGCUGGCUAGGCGGGUGUCCCCUUCCUCCCUUACCACUCCAUGUGCGUCCCUCUCGAAGCUGCGCGCUCGGUUGAAGAGGAUGACCAUCCCCGAUAGAGGAGGACCAGUCUUCUGUCAAGGGUAUAUGAGUAGCUGCGCUCCCCUGCUAGAACCUCCAAACAAGCUCUCAAGGUCACAGCGUGAUCUUUCAGGAUUUGAAAUAGCUCAACUGAAAUUCCAUCACCUCCACUAGCUUUGUUCAUAGU
This 314-nucleotide small nuclear RNA is filed under the name Bos mutus (wild yak). RNAcentral describes it as "7SK RNA (ENSBMUG00000011015.1)". It matches the Rfam family "7SK RNA". From Rfam's summary of the family: 7SK was discovered as an abundant small nuclear RNA in the mid-70s but a possible function has only recently been suggested. Two independent studies have found that 7SK RNA binds the CDK9/cyclin T complex (known as elongation factor P-TEFb). The record is from RNAcentral. Lineage: Eukaryota; Metazoa; Chordata; Mammalia; Artiodactyla; Bovidae.